GAAAUGUACAAAGCCAGCAAGUAUGAGGUGUCUCCUGAUUUGAAGCAUGUGCUGCUGGCCUACAACGUUGCACCGGUGUACCAGCAUUCUUACACAGCCUUCUACAUCAUCUGCAGUCUGGAUACCCCGGCGACCUGGAACUUGAACCCUCCAGAAGUGCGAAAUGCUCAGCUGCAGUUUGCAGGCUGGGGACCCCAAGACCAGCAACUG
Long non-coding RNA from Notothenia coriiceps (black rockcod), 210 nucleotides. RefSeq lists it as uncharacterized. NCBI's taxonomy places the organism in Eukaryota, Metazoa, Chordata, Actinopteri, Perciformes, Nototheniidae. The record is from RefSeq and is a predicted model, not a curated record. The transcript has 3 exons.